The sequence is a ribosomal RNA, 2907 nucleotides long. It matches the Rfam family "Bacterial large subunit ribosomal RNA". The record is from Rfam.
GGUUAAGUGACUAAGCGUACACGGUGGAUGCCUAGGCAGUCAGAGGCGAUGAAGGACGUACUAAUCUGCGAAAAGCGUCGGUGAGCUGAUAUGAAGCGUUAUUAACCGGCGAUUUCCGAAUGGGGAAACCUUAUGCAAUUUAUUUUGCAUAAUCGUUAAGUAAAUAAAUAGCUUAAUGAAGCGAACCAGGGGAAUUGAAACAUCUCAGUACCCUGAGGAAAAGAAAUCAACCGAGAUUCCCUUAGUAGUGGCGAGCGAACAGGGAACAGCCCAGAGCUAUCAUCAACUUGUACAUUAGGAAAAUGGUCUGGAAAGUCCGGCAAUAUAGGGUGAUAGCCCCGUAUCUGAAGGUGUACUUGUUGUGAGCUCGAUGAGUAAAACGGGACACGUGAUAUCCUGUUUGAAUAUAGGGGGACCAUCCUCUAAGGCUAAAUACUCCUGACUGACCGAUAGUGAACCAGUACCGUGAGGGAAAGGUGAAAAGAACCCCGGUAAGGGGAGUGAAAUAGAACCUGAAACCGUGUACUUACAAGCAGUAGGAGCAUCUUCCAAGAUGUGACUGCGUACCUUUUGUAUAAUGGGUCAGCGACUUAUAUUCUGUAGCAAGGUUAACCGUAUAGGGGAGCCGUAGGGAAACCGAGUCUUAACUGGGCGUUUAGUUGCAGGAUAUAGACCCGAAACCCGGUGAUCUAGCCAUGAGCAGGUUGAAGAUUAGUUAACACUAAUUGGAGGACCGAACCGACUAAUGUUGAAAAAUUAGCGGAUGACUUGUGGUUAGGGGUGAAAGGCCAAUCAAACCGGGAGAUAGCUGGUUCUCCCCGAAAGCUAUUUAGGUAGCGCCUCGUGAAGUCAUCUACGGGGGUAGAGCACUGUUUCGGCUAGGAAUCUAUCCUGGAUUACCAACCCGAUGCAAACUACGAAUACCGUAGAAUGUUAUCACGGGAGACACACGGCGGGUGCUAACGUCCGUCGUGAAGAGGGAAACAACCCAGACCGCCAGCUAAGGUCCCAAAAUCAUGAUUAAGUGGGAAACGAUGUGGGAAGGCCUAGACAGCCAGGAUGUUGGCUUAGAAGCAGCCAUCAUUUAAAGAAAGCGUAAUAGCUCACUGGUCGAGUCAGCCUGCGCGGAAGAUGUAACGGGGCUAAAUCAUGUACCGAAGCUGCGGCAGCAGCAUUUAUGUGUUGCUGGGUAGGGGAGCGUUCUGUAAGCCUGUAAAGGUAGCUUGUGAAAGCUGCUGGAGGUAUCAGAAGUGCGAAUGCUGACAUAAGUAACGAUAAAGCGGGUGAAAAACCCGCUCGCCGAAAGACUAAGGGUUCCUGUUCAACGUUAAUCGGAGCAGGGUGAGUCGACCCCUAAGGCGAGGCCGAAAGGCGUAGUCGAUGGGAAACAGGUUAAUAUUCCUGUACUUAGCAUAACUACGAAGGGGGGACGGAGAAAGCUAGGUUCGUCGGGCGACGGUUGUCCCGAUUCAAGCGUACAGGUGAAAAAAACAGGAAAAUCCGUUUUUUUAUAACACUAAGGCGUGAUAACGAACUACUAUGGUAGUGAAGGAAUUGAUGCUACGCUUCCAGGAAAAGCCUCUAAGUUCUAGGUUAUGCUGAAUCGUACCCCAAACCGACACAGGUGGUCAAGUAGAGAAUACUCAGGCGCUUGAGAGAACUCGGGUGAAGGAACUAGGCAAAAUGGUGCCGUAACUUCGGGAGAAGGUACACUGGCAUAUAGGUAAAGGUUUUUCCUGAGCUGAAGCCAGUCGCAGAUACCAGCUGACUGCAACUGUUUAUUAAAAACACAGCACUGUGCAAACACGAAAGUGGACGUAUACGGUGUGACGCCUGCCCGGUGCCGGAAGGUUAAUUGAUGGAGUUAACCGUAAGGAGAAGCUCUUGAUCGAAGCCCCGGUAAACGGCGGCCGUAACUAUAACGGUCCUAAGGUAGCGAAAUUCCUUGUCGGGUAAGUUCCGACCUGCACGAAUGGCGUAAUGAUGGUCAGACUGUCUCCACCCGAGACUCAGUGAAAUUGAAUUCGCCGUGAAGAUGCGGUGUACCCGCGGCAAGACGGAAAGACCCCGUGAACCUUUACUAUAGCUUGAUACUGAAUAUUGAACUUUAAUGUGUAGGAUAGGUGGGAGGCUUUGAAGUGUUGAUGCUAGUUAACAUGGAGCCAUCCUUGAAAUACCACCCUUUAACGUUUGAUAUUCUCACUCAGAUCCGUUAUCCGGGUCGAGGACAGUGUCUGGUGGGUAGUUUGACUGGGGCGGUCUCCUCCUAAAAUGUAACGGAGGAGCACAAAGGUUAGCUAAUCACGGUCGGACAUCGUGAGGUUAGUGCAAAGGCAUAAGCUAGCUUAACUGCGAGAGUGACUACUCGAGCAGGUGCGAAAGCAGGUCUUAGUGAUCCGGUAGUUCUGUAUGGAAGGGCUAUCGCUCAACGGAUAAAAGGUACUCCGGGGAUAACAGGCUUAUACCGCCCAAGAGUUCAUAUCGACGGCGGUGUUUGGCACCUCGAUGUCGGCUCAUCACAUCCUGGGGCUGAAGCAGGUCCCAAGGGUAUGGCUGUUCGCCAUUUAAAGUGGUACGCGAGCUGGGUUUAGAACGUCGUGAGACAGUUCGGUCCCUAUCUGCCGUGGGCGUUGGAAGAUUGAGAGGGGCUACUUCUAGUACGAGAGGACCGAAGUGGACGCACCACUGGUGUUCGGAUUGUCAUGCCAAUGGCACUGUCCGGUAGCUACGUGCGGAAGAGAUAACCGCUGAAAGCAUCUAAGCGGGAAACUUUCCUCAAGAUUAGUCUUCCCUGAGACUUUAAGUCUCCUAAAGGGACGUUAAAGACGAUGACGUUGAUAGGUCGGGUGUGUAAGCGUUGUGAAGCGUUGAGCUAACCGAUACUAAUGACCCGUGAGACUUAACCUC